AAGUCGUAACAAGGUUUCCGUAGGUAUAGGUUUGCCUAUGGGAGCCCCCGCAGCGACUUUAAAUAACUGCGCGGUCCGUAUUCACUGCGGGCAACACCGUUCAAGUGCUGGAAGAAGUUGGCGCGAGCCAGCUAGCAUCAGCAGCCGACGCACCCCGCGUUCGGUCCACAGAUCAAUCGACGGUGACCUAUUGGUUGAGCUAUGACCGGUUCACGCCCCUCGAGGGGCGUGGAACGGCGGAACCUGCGGAAGGAUCAUUAUCGAGAGACGGGGUCUAACAGGCCCCACUCUUCACCCGUGUAUACCUACCUCUGUUGCUUUGGCGGGCCAUCGGGCCUAACGGCCCGGCGUCGUCAGGAGGCUAUCGUCUCCAGCCCGGCGAGUGCCCGCCAGAGGCCCUUAAAAAUCUGUUUAUACGUGACGUCCGAGUAGUUACCUAAUAGUCAAAACUUUCAACAACGGAUCUCUUGGUUCUGGCAUCGAUGAAGAACGCAGCGAAAUGCGAUAAGUAAUGUGAAUUGCAGAAUUCAGUGAAUCAUCGAAUCUUUGAACGCACAUUGCGCCCUCUGGUAUUCCGGGGGGCAUGCCUGUUCGAGCGUCAUUGCAACCCUCAAGCAUUGCUUGGUACUGGGUCUCGCCCCUGGGGGCGUACCCGAAACACAGUGGCGGCUCAGCGAGACUUCGAGCGUAGUAAGAUUGUCAUAUCCCGCUUUGGAAGCCCCUCGGUGAGCCGGCCAGCCAACAUACGAAGUGAAAACUUCCCACGAUUGACCUCGGAUCAGGUAGGGAUACCCGCUGAACUUAAGCAUAUCAAUAAGCGGAGGAAAAGAAACCAACAGGGAUUGCCUCAGUAACGGCGAG
Molecule: unclassified non-coding RNA, 861 nt
Filed under: Buellia dialyta
Lineage: Eukaryota; Fungi; Ascomycota; Lecanoromycetes; Caliciales; Caliciaceae
Description: partial contains 18S rRNA, ITS1, 5.8S rRNA, ITS2 and 28S rRNA
Rfam family: 5.8S ribosomal RNA (bases 448-601)
Source: RNAcentral